UACGUAGGGCGCAAGCGUUGUCCGGAAUUAUUGGGCGUAAAGAGCGUGUAGGCGGUCCGGUAAGUCCGCUGUGAAAGUCGGGGGCUCAACCCUCGAAUGCCGGUGGAUACUGUCGGGCUAGAGUGCGGAAGAGGCGAGUGGAAUUCCUGGUGUAGCGGUGAAAUGCGCAGAUAUCAGGAGGAACACCAAUUGCGAAGGCAGCUCGCUGGGACGUUACUGACGCUGAGACGCGAAAGCGUGGGGAGCAAACAGG
This 253-nucleotide ribosomal RNA is filed under the name uncultured bacterium. RNAcentral's name for it is "partial 16S ribosomal RNA". It matches the Rfam family "Bacterial small subunit ribosomal RNA", at positions 524 to 776 of the family's 1533-position model. The record is from RNAcentral.